Non-coding RNA from Aegilops tauschii subsp. strangulata, 2497 nucleotides. The record is from RefSeq and is a predicted model, not a curated record. NCBI's taxonomy places the organism in Eukaryota, Viridiplantae, Streptophyta, Magnoliopsida, Poales, Poaceae.
CCCAAAAUACUCGCCGCCGCCCCCUUUGCUGAGAGGUAACCUAGUUCCCAAAUCCUUGUCGGAUCCGCGGCCAUGGAGGAAUCCUUGACGGCCCCCUCCGUCGAUCCCGCCUCCGUCGACCCCGCCUCACUCGAUCCCGCCGCCGUCGACCCCGCCUCCGUCGACCCCGCCGCCGUCGACCCCCUCGCCGUCGAUCCCCUCGCCGUCGACCCCCUCGCCGUCGACCCCGCCUCCGUCGACCCCCUCGCCGUCGACCCCGCCUCCGUCGACCCCGCCUCCGUCGAUCCCGCCUCCGUCGACACCCCCGCCGUCGAUCCCGCCUCCUUCCACCCCCCCGCCGUCGAUCCCGCCUCCGUCGACCCCCCCGCCGUCCAUCCCGCCUCCUUCUACCCCCCCGCAGUCGACCCCGCCGGCGCCAACCCAUCCAGCUACCCCUCCUGGGUCCUCCUCGACAGCAGAGCCUACUUCGCCGACCGCGUCAACGCCACCACCGUGAAGGCCACGGCGAGCACGGGCCACGAAUUCAAGGUCACCUUUUGUCUCGCCGACCCGCCCGCCGUCUCCUACUUCUGCGUCCACUGCCCCGAAGGUUGUUACACCACGGAGCCCCGCGUCGUCUCCUCCGCCAGUGACCUCGUCCUCCUCUGCUUCGCCUUCAGCUCCGGCCCACGGAGCACAGAAAAAGACUCCCAUCUCGAGUACUUCGUCUACAAGGCUGCCUCCGACGGCAAGCCCACCAUCAGAUCUGUUCCGUGUUCCCCUCGAGCCUACGUGCACUCAUGGCACGCCGCCAUCGUGCCCGGCAAGGGCGACAAUUUCUUGGUCGCUGAUCUUUCCCUGAAUGGGGACCCUGGGCACUACAACCUGCACAUCUUCUCGUCGGAGACAAACGAGUGGAGCACCAAACAUGUGCAGCUGCAGACCGACCCGAAUGUCCUGCCACUGGAGCUGCCAAUCCUAACUGACAAGGUGAUCUUGCUCGGAAGAAGCACAGUAGGAUGGGUCGACCUCUGGCGUGGCAUUGUCGUCUGCAAUUUGCUUGAAAAGGAGCCUGUUCCCCAUUUCAUCCCGCUGCCCAAGGCCGAAUUCGACCUGCACCGGAAAAGCAAAGCACGGCAAGUGCGGGACGUCAUUGGCUUCACCGAUGGUUACAUCAACUUCAUCGAGAUCGAACACUGUCUCAGGUGGUUCCCCGUUGUCAGAAAGAGCAAUUUGAAGACGGCCAUGAUUUUUGAUGUUGCAGAUACCAUCGAUGAUGCAGAGCUCCUCAGUCUUGAUGAUAUGGACGGCGUUAGAGAUGACAAACCUGUGCAGCAUGUACCUGCUGGCUGGAAGAUCCGGACAAUGUUUAGGAGCAUUGAUUGGAACUAUUGGGAAAGUAGUCACAUUCUUCAUGUUGACGAAAUAUCAGCCUCCCCACCUGAACCCUCUGUGCUGCAAUCUCAUCUAUGGAAUGAUACAGACAAGAAAUGGACAUUGGGAAAACUGAAGUGUACAAGCUUCCCGACCUUUGGUUUUUACGGCGGUGAUGUUGUCUAUCUCGUGUCUAAGGCGGAGUCUCAGGAUAAUGAUGCAUUGCUUGUUGGUGUUGAUAUUCGAAAAAUGAAGCUGGAAUCCAUCAAAGCAUAUGGCUGCGGGAGAUCCAUUUCUUUUGGUCCCAUUCCGGUUGUUCGUUUUAAAAUUGGAAGGAAGCAGGAAGUCAUCGAACCAUCUUGUGGCGGGAGAUCCGCUUCUUUUGAUGCCAUUUCAUGUGCAUUCUCAAAAUAUCUAAAUACCGCUCCAAGUCCAAGGCCGUGUAAUGGGGAAGCUGCAGCAGAGUCUGCUCAGAAUGGUGUGCUGAAUGAUCAUCUUUCAUCGAGGGAUACUGUUCCGAACAGUGUGCAACCCCAGCAAAACAUGUGGAAUGAGGGUGGCUGCAAUGGGGGUUGGAGUGAAUAUGGUUAUAGCGUGCAGCAGCCAUCCAGUUUGACACAAUCUGGGCAGCCAAUGUUGUCUUCAACUCGAUUAGUGUCGGUCCCACCACUGGGAUAGAAGCUGUUCUGUGCAGAGAAGCUUCUGUUCGCGAUUAACUCACCUAGCUCUGUUAUCCAUGCUCCCAUGUAAGCUGCAAAUUAAUACUCCUGUCAUCCUGUCUGCUAACUGUCAAGUGCCUGGGAUUUGGACAUACAUUAAUCCUGCUAAAUGUUAUCAUCGCCACCUGUGCCAUCAAGUGAAAUGUGUAAGCCGACGACGGCGUCGCUCCUUUGAUGCCUCUAAUGCCAGUGCAGACUCCCUUGGCUCAACCAUGGCCAACAUCAGCACAUGAAGCCAGUUGCAUCUCCUGCACAUCGCGACUAGGUGGAAUGUCAACAAAGUGCAUGCUCUUGCAUCCCGAUGCUGUGAAGGCAUAUGUCCACAUACCGGCUACCACCGUAUGUUAUCAUAUCAUGGAUGAUGCUUUAAAACAUUUGAAUACUUUAAUUUGUCUAUGGAGUUAUGGACCUUAAGCCUUUGCUGA